GAAUAUUGCGCAAUGGGCGAAAGCCUGACGCAGCAACGCCGCGUGAGCGAUGAAGGCCUUAGGGUUGUAAAGCUCUGUCAGAUGGGAAGAAUUAUGACGGUACCAUUAGAGGAAGCCCCGGCUAACUCCGUGCCAGCAGCCGCGGUAAUACGGAGGGGGCAAGCGUUGUUCGGAAUUAUUGGGCGUAAAGCGUAUGUAGGCGGCCGAGUAAGUCAGACGUGCAAGCCCAUGGCUCAACCGCGGAAUUGCGUUUGAAACUAUUCGGCUUGAGUUCAGGAGAGGAAAGCGGAAUUCCCAGUGUAGCGGUGAAAUGCAUUGAUAUUGGGAAGAACAUCUGUGGCGAAGGCGGCUUUCUGGUCUGUUACUGACGCUGAGAUACGAAAGCCUGGGGAGCGAACGGGAUUAGAUACCCCGGUAGUCCUGGCCGUAAACGAUGGGCACUAGGUGCAGGAGGUAUCGAUCCCCUCUGUGUCGUAGCUAACGCAUUAAGUGCCCCGCCUGGGGAGUACGGUCGCAAGGCUG
RNAcentral lists this ribosomal RNA (522 nucleotides) under uncultured delta proteobacterium. RNAcentral's name for it is "bacterial SSU rRNA". It matches the Rfam family "Bacterial small subunit ribosomal RNA", at positions 359 to 896 of the family's 1533-position model. Lineage: Bacteria; Deltaproteobacteria. The record is from RNAcentral.